GCCUCCAUCGUCUAGCGGCCUAGGACACCGCCCUUUCAAGGCGGAGACAGGGAUUCGAUUUCCCUUGGAGGCACCA
This 76-nucleotide transfer RNA is filed under the name Dehalococcoidia bacterium. RNAcentral's name for it is "tRNA-Glu". It matches the Rfam family "tRNA". From Rfam's summary of the family: Transfer RNA (tRNA) molecules are approximately 80 nucleotides in length. Their secondary structure includes four short double-helical elements and three loops (D, anti-codon, and T loops). RNAcentral also lists the same sequence under 1 other name. The record is from RNAcentral. Lineage: Bacteria; Bacillati; Chloroflexota; Dehalococcoidia.